UUUUUUUUUUUUUUUAAAUAAAAUUACAUUAAAGUUAAAUAACUUAUAUAAUUUACUUAAAUUUAUUAUAAAAUUUAUAAUUAUUAGAACUUUUUAAGAAAAUAUUAUAAAAUAUUAUAAAUUUAAAUUGAUCCACUUAUAAUAUAUAAAACCAUAAAAAAUAAAAUCAUUUUCAAUUGUUAUUUUAUUUAGUUUAUUUUAAAUUCUCGAUAUAAAUAUUUUAUUGUUAAUGACAUUUUUAAUUUUUAUUUCUAUUUUUAUAAUUAUUAACAUUAUUUAAUUCAAAAUUUGUGGGACAACCAUAAAUUAAUUAAAUUUUUAGGAUUUAAAUCACCUAUAAAAUUAAAGAUCUAUUUGUUUCACUGAAAAUGGCUUUCGAAAAAUAACUUACUUUUCUAGAAAAAGCUAAUAUUUUCUAGUAUUUGGAUGAAUUUGUGUAAACUAUUUUCUGUUAUUUGUCAGAUUUCUUGAAAAUAUUUCAUAAAAGCUGUUUUCAAUGAAACAAACAUACAUAUGAGAUUUUCUUAUCUUUUUAUUGUUUAAUUGAGUUUAUUUUAUAUCUAUAAAUUUAUAUUUUACAUUGUUAUUGCAUAUAUUAACAAAAAUAAUAUAAUAUAUAAAUACAUCAAAUUAAAUACAUAAUAUUACUCAAUUAUUAAGCUAUAAUAUUAACAUGCAUAAAUUGAAAACAAUCAAAGCGAAUAGAUAACUCCUGAUUGUAUUAUAAAAACACAAAAAAAAUGAUUGAAUAAUAAUAAAUUAGCUUCCAAACCAUAAUUAGCACUAUAUAAAAUUAUAUUAAUAAUUUUAUCCAAGUGCAUAAUUAGUAGUACAUCGCAUGAUGGCUACAAUAUUAGUUUGAAUAAUAAUAAAUUAGCUUCAAAAAAAUAGUAGAACAAAAAUUAAAUAAAAGCUAAUUUAUUAUUCAAUUAGAAUAGUAAAGGGGCUCAAAUCUCUUGUAAAAUCGUAAAACGUGAAGACAAUUAAGGAGACGCCAUUCCUAGGGCUCUAAGCUUUUAACUUCGAAAUUCAAGUAGUCAUUGGUUGUUUUCUUGAAUUUUUAUAGAUUUGAGGUAAUGGGAACUUGAGUUAGCUAGCCCAUGUAUCAAUUUGUAAAAUUGUUAAUGUUUUAGAAAGUUUUCAUUGUUGAAUUCUUGAAGUUUUAGGUGUUAUAUUGAUAGAUUUUAAGCUUAGAUGUGAGAAGGGGUAAAUUGUAAAGCUUAAUUGAUAAUUUAGUACUUUAAGGAAUAAACUAAAUAAAAUGUAAAAUUUGCUAUAAAAAUAAGAAAUGGGAGGUCGCUAAUGUAUAAUAGUGAAAUCAGAAAUCAAUUUGAAGCUUUAAAUUGAAAGUUAUGUUAGUCUCGUUUUAGGGACUAAAUUGAAUAGAUUAUAAAUUUUGUAUAAAUUGAUAAUUGAAUGUGAAUUGGUUUAUUAUUGAUAGUGCUAUAUGUUUUAUGUUAAUCCGUAGCUAACAUUGAUUGGAAAAUGUCCAAAGACAUUUUGGUAAACAAGGCCUUAUCAGAUUGAAAAACAUCUUACCAAAAAAAAUUUGAUAAGACAUUUUAUGAGAAUAAUGAGGUAAUUUUACGUUGACUGGAAAAUUUUUUACGUUGACCAUACUAUUUUACAUGAAACAAAUAUAAAAAAAUGCUAAAAAUAUUUUUCGUAAAAGUUUUUUUACGUAAAACAAACGGAGCCUAAAAGAAAAAUUAGUUAAAAGUAAAAAAGAACAGGCAGGGUAGCUUGGGAAUACAUGAUUUGAGUCUUCAAAACAAAGCUUUCCUUUUGAAAUUGGAUAUAAUUUUUUUCAGAUCAACAUGCCAUACCGGUGCAAGUAAUGAGAACUAAAUAUUGAGUGGGGGAGGGGAAGCCUACGUUUAUUAAGAGAUCGAGUAGCUCAUUUUUUUGGAAAUCCAUUGCUAAAGUUUGACGGCAUUUACUAGAUUCACUUUGUUGGUCGAUCGAUAAUGGGAAGAGGGUCUGAUUUUGGUUCGAUACUUGGGGUUGGGGCUAGAAUCGCUAAAUAAUUAUUGUUUGGAGCAUGUAUCUUGAAAUCUGACAGUCUUGGUUUCUUACAUGGCUGAUGGUAAGGGACAUUGGCAGCGGGGAGAGUCUACGUCGUUACUUAGUAAUGAUAUUCUACUUUUUAUUACGGCGGUUCAACCACUUUAAAGAAAUAUGAAGGAAGAUGUCCGUGUAUAAAAGCAUACUAAGUAGGGCUAGUUUUCCAUGCGUUCUACAUAUGCUUUUUUUGGCUCAUAUUUGAACUAUAAUUUGGAAAUUUCCGGGUCCACAACGUGUUAGGAAUUUCCUUUGGUUGGUGGGACGUAAACGUCUCCUAACUAGGAGUGGGUAGAGAAGGGUUUGAUGGAGUAUGCAAGUUGCGCCUUGCACCCCUUGUAAUGCUUGCAACGAGAGCCUGAUCCAUCUCCUUUGUGACUGGCCAAAUGUAGCAUUGAUUUGGAAGUUUCGAACGUUUUCUUACCUCUCAACAAGCGACAUUUAUUUUUUCCUGAUCAUUGCAAGAUUGGCUGCACGCAAAUUUAUCUAAUGUUUUUAAUAUUCAUAUUAUUAAUUUGAAUUGGGUUACUUUGUAUGAGAUCAUAUGUUGGAAUAUAUGGAAACACUAGAACUUAUUGGUGUUCAGAACACAGAGUUUUAGUAGUAAGGAUGUGGCUACACAGGCCAUUUUGUAGGUGAGACAUGUGCUUACAAGUAAAUCUAUGAAUGCGGUACGGAGGUCACAGUCCAUGGCUAAUCAGUUAUGGACACCACCAAAUAAAGGUUAGGUGAAACUAAAUUACGAUGGGUUCAUGAUAUGCGAGGUGAACUGUAACAGCUCGUUUUCUAGUGGCGUCGAAAACAGUGGUUUCGGGGCCACAAUUCUAACAUGUGAAUUCAUAAAUAUUAAAUAAUUAAUAAUGGUUACGUCACUAUUAAUUUUUAAGUGCUGAAUUUAUAUGAAAGUAUAACUAGAUGGAUUUUGGUGGCAGUAAUGCCAUUUUUAAACUUAGUGGUCAGUCAUGUGCUUUUUAAUUGUGUUUUUAUAAUUAAAAAGUUUAAUUAAAAUAAGGUUGAAGUAUUAUAAUAAUGAAACAAAAAAGGAAUCCUAUGUCAUCUUCUUAAAUUUCUUUUUAUUUUCAACCGAAACUCCAUGGUUAAAACCUUAGAACAAUCGGCCAAGCUUCAUUUCUUAUGCAUGGUAUGUUUUUCAAGCUCGUUUCUCGUAAAUUUUAUGUUUUUAAAAUCGUUACAGCUUAAUCGAUCUAGCCUAGGGACUAUUUUAAAAUACUAUCAAAGAUUUGAAAACUUGCCAUUGAUAUUCUUGAAGCUUUUUAGUUGUUAAUGGUUUAGUUUGAAGCUUGAUGAUGAAUUUGGAUUAAUUUGUAAAGUGGUUUUAAUAGUUUUGAGUUUAAGGACUAAAAUGAUUAAAUAUUGAAAUUUGUUUAGUUUUCUUGUAAAAUUUUAGACUUUGAGAGGUGUAUAGGGAUGUUUAAGAAUUCGGUACUAUGGGUUAGGGAGUAAUUAUGAAAAUAAACUUGUUUCGAUUUUAGGGACUAAAUUGAAUAAAAUGAAAAUAUUUAGGUCAAUUGUGAAAAAUAUAAAUAAGAAAUCAUAUGCAUCAAAUGGAUUGUUAUAAAGUAUUUUGGGCUAAUAAUUGAAAUAAAAAUUACUAUAUAGAUCAAGAACCGAUAGAUAAUUAUAGAAAAGAGAAAAUUAUUGAUUAGUUCGUCAUAUUGACAUCUUUACUAUUUAGCCCUGGUAAGUUUAUGCGGUAUUAUUUUGUGUAUUUUUGUAAUUUUAUUGUUGAAAUUCCAUAAUUUGAUGACAUUGGUUAUAAAUUGAAAUGCUACAAUUGAAUUGGUGAGAAAAUAGAUUGAAAUGUAAAUUGUUAUACGGUUACGUGAAUUAAGCCUGGAUGAACAUAAGAUAGGGUACAGUUUGCAUGCCAAUUGAUUAUUUUGUGCGUUGUAUCGGAUUUGACUUGUGACGAGAUGAUGAUUCAUGACUUGUUAUUGUACACUGAACAUAUUAGAGUCCAACAUUUGUUGCGGAUUACCGAGUUAUAUUUACAGUGAUUCUAGUGUGUUUCUGGGGGCAAAUGUAAAGCCUACAUGCUUGAAACUUGGUGCCCAAACGUGUUUAUGGAGGGAUGUUAGCCUACGGGCUAGGCACUUGGUGCCUUAGCGUGUUCUUAAUUGGAUCGGAUCAGUUGAGUAUCCAGGCAUGUUUUGGGUGGAUAACCGCGUACCCAUAUAUGUUCAUGUAGUUCAUCAGGCUAAAUUUCAAUGGUUAAAUGACAUGACUUUGAUAUGUACUUGAUAUUUGAUUAUAAUGCAUUGUUGAUCACUUGUAUAUGUUUUCAUGAUUUCCAGUAUUAUAUCAUGACUUGAUAUUGAAUGAUAUUGUACAAAUGAGAUGAUUAAAUGACUCGUAUAUAUGAAACUCACCUAUUAAAUGGUUGUGGUUAACAGGGUUAAUGUUAGUUAAUGAUUUUGUUAAUUAUUAAACUAUGUUUACACGGUAAGUUAUAUCGUUUCAACCUAUGAACUUACUAAGCUCCUUCAAGCUUACUCGUGUCAUUUUUUUUCUUAUUUUCUUGUAGAUAUCGUUUUGUGGAAUCAAACAAUCGGAUCAAGUUGAAGAUCACACUAUCUAGCUAUCUUUUGGUAAACUUUCAAAAUGUUUAUUUUGAAGCAUGUAAUAAGAGUAUCUUGUAUUUGUUUAUAAGUAUUCACUAUAAGUGGCAUAUUUUGUGCUUGUAUAUAAGUUGAGUGUUUGUGGCAAAUGAUGUGAUGGAUUAUAGCUUGGUUUAGAGAUUUUAUUAAAGUUGUGUGACCCAAAUUUCUGUUAAAUAAAAUAAGAGAUUGCUUGCAAGUCAAGUUAAACAAAAUAUAUUUUCUUUCUAGAAAAUUUAAUAUUUAUUAGUAUAAUAUAUUUAGCAUUUAUUAGCAUAAUUUAUUUGACCUGUGAAUUUAUUCUAUAAAUAGACUCUUUUACAACCUUAGAAAAUACACCCAUUAAAGAUUAGAACUAUAACACUUUUGGAGAAUUUUGCGUUUACAUUUUGUUAAGUUAUUUGUUUUCAGGUUUUGGGGUUUAAUUUUUUUAUCAUAUCUUUUGUACUUUUUGUUCUUUUGCCAUUAUAGUAAAAUUAUCUUUGCCCGUGGUUUUUUAUCAUAUUUGGAGGGGUUUUUCCACGUUAAAUUUGUGUGUUUAAUUUCUUAAUUUAUUCCGCUAUUUUUACUUGUUCGUUGCUUAAUCGAAUUGAUCCCCAACAAAUUUGAAUGCGAUAUAUGCUUGAUAUGUGAUGGAAUAUAUAUAUGAUGUAAUGAAAUGCAUAUAAAUGAAUUAAAUGUGAUAGGUAAUGUUUAAAUAGGUAAUACUUUGGUUGGAUUUGUUUUGGAUGCUAUGAAUUGGUAUAUAUGUAUGGUUUUCUUUUGAUAGCUAAUAUGUGGUGCAUAUGCUUUGACAAUGAGUGUUAAUUGAUGAUUGCAUUAUAGCAUGUUGUCACAUUAUAUGGCCUUAUUUAAUUAAGUUUGAACUUGGUAGAAAUUGAAAAUGUUAGACUUGAAUGUUGUUUGUGAUGGUGCCUUAUGGCAUAUUGGUUAGAAUUAGGUAAAUGGCAUGUUUUGGUAUUUUUUGUGUGAUUUGAACAUGUUGAAUGAUUGGUUAAUGCUAUACUUGUGGCCUAAAUAUGCAUGUAAUUGUAUGGCUUGCAUUUGAAGAUACCUUUGGGUUCACAUGAACUGAAACACGACCUAACACACAACUGUGUGCCAUACACGGGUAUAUGUCACGGUUGUGUGGUCUGUGUGAUUUAUAUAUCAAUUGGCACACACGGCCACUGUUUGUUACACGGUAGUGUGCCUCCACCCACACGGUCUUAAUCCUCUCACAUGAUUGUAUGACACGGCUAUGUCCCAUAACACCACACAGCCGUGUGACCCCUCUUUAUUGUUUUUACCUUACUUUUUCUAUUUUUAUUUCGAAUUAGUCCCUGCUUGUUUCUGAAUGGACUAUUGAGUUUCAUAGGCUAGAUUUAGGUCUCGUUUUUGCUUGAUUAACAUGAUUAUCAAAUGUUUGUCUAUUAAUGAUUGUUUAAAUUUAAUUUUGAGUUGAAGUUACAUAUUGACUUGUUAAUUGUCAUAGCAUCUCGUAACCCUAAUCCAGUGACAGAAAUGAGCGAGGGGUGUUACAUGAGCACAGCUGUUGGGGAUACGAUACAAUAAUAUAACGGCAAUUGGGUGUGGUACUAUUCUCAUUUCUUUGGAGCCUAAAAUGAAAUCGAUGAAGAGCUUUGGGAACUUCUGAAUGAGCCGAUGGUUGCGUGGGACUUGGGGUUGUGUUAGGUGAUGGUGGUGUGCGAUAGCGUCGUGGCAAUGUUGUUGGCUAUGACAGUCCAUAGAAGCACUAGUACUAUGCGAGAUAUAAAGUCGAUGUGCGAGUGACCAUGGGAGGUGUGUAAUACCCUCAUACCCGACCCGAACAUUAAGUCAAAGCACUAGGAUGUUACAUUUGUUGCUAGAGCAACUUCGGCGAUUUCACAUCAACUAAUCCCUAUAAAACUCAAAUUAUAUCAAAACACUUGCAAUAACUUAUACACAUGCCAUAUUUUAUAGCAAAAUAUCAAAAUUGUACCCUCUUCAAGCCUUGGUGAUGAGAUGAGAUGCGUUAAAAUCUCAACUUGAAUCUAAAGCUUCAAUUCAAUCUUCCACCUACGUGUUUAAAACACGCAUUAAACUUGUGAAAGCUUAAGAAGUACCCAGGGAUCCAAAUCUCAUUUUUUUACCUUGAAUUCUGUAUAUAUAAAAUACUACUACUAUUAUAAUUCUUGAAUAUAUCUUAAUAAUGAACAAAAUACAUUUUAAUAAUUAACAGAUCAUUUUUGUAUCUGUAGGAUUCAUUAUUACCAUAAUUCACUACCUUUAUCUUUUCAUAGAUUGAUAGGAACAGAACUUUUACCAGUCUAAUUCACUAAAUUAUCACUUCACGGUUUAAUAGAAAGUAUUAUCAGAAUCCUUUACUAGUCAUCUCACUGUGUAACAAUAACUUUUCAUCAAAACCUGCUUAGCAUAACUUUUUAUUUUAUUAUUAUCUUUUAUUAUUCAACAAAGGCCCAAUGUAGACUUAAUAAAAUGCAUAUGAUGUAUGAAAACAGUACAAUAAUACAUCAAAAUGCAAUAACAAAACAAAGUAGCACCGGAGUGCUGUGUCAGAACAAGACCGCAAUGACAUGCGUAAUAAAAACAAAGAGCGCGCUAGGUGCUUCCUUAAUGGCAUGUCAUCUAUAUCUUAAUAGUUCUCAUUGGCUGCCUCAAUUACCAGCGCGUAGACACCGGGGUUGAGAAAUCAACACUAACACAAUCAAAUAAUAAAAUGGUAUCUGCAAGUGUGUCAAGUUAAUUGUAAUAUUUGUAAUGUUUAACGAAAUACUCGAGUACUCCAAGGAUUGAACCCAAAUGAGUCAGUGAUUAAGUGAUCCCAAAUUAAUAACAUGCAAUUAAAGGAUUCUAAUUAACUACUCACUAAGCAUUAUAUUAUGACAUGUUAUAAUUUGAAGUUAAUUACACUAAAUUGCUUUCUAACACUAAGGAAGACUAAAUCGUAAAGCAGACAAAACUAUAAAUUUACCAAAUUACUAAAAAAUGGUGGUUGGUCAACUUCCAUGUUGCUAGAUAAUUUUCGAAUUAGAGAAUUAAAUCACUUAAACUCCUAAAGUGGCUCAAUUUUACCUUUCAGCCUCAAAUUUACCAAGUUAAACAAAUUAGUUCGACUUAUCUCUCGACCUCACCCAGCUAACUCGAGUCUAUUGAAUUAGCGCCCGAUAAGAUCUCUUUUCGGUCUUACUCAUCUUAAUUUUCCCUUAGGGACGUUGAUCCUAAGUUUAAAUUUUAUUCAAUUUAGCCUAAUUUUUGCAAUUUAUUAUAUGACUUAAAAAUUAGCUAAACAACAUUUCCAUCUACCAAUCUCCCAAGAUUUAGCUCCUUAAGCACGUAAUCACCCAACAUUCAAAAAAAGGGACAUUAACUUAGUCUAAAAGAAAGUUGAUAAAAACCCAAGCUUUCUUGCAAAAGCUUGAAGAACGAAAUAAUGGCAACAAGAAAGAUAAAUAAAAACACCAAAGAUGAAUUUUUUGACAGAUGAAACAUAAAAAAGCUAAUUGGUAUUGAACUAAAGGAUUAAAGUGAAAUUACAAGGGAGUUUGAAGUGCUAAACAAGUAAAUAAAUCCUAGCUACAAUGGUAACUAACUUAACUAACAACUAAAAUGCUAAGAAAUACCAAAGAAAAGCAUAAACUAAAAACCCUAGAAUUAUGGAGAAGAAAACUACUCUAAACCUAAGCUAAGAAGAUGAAAGAAAACCUAAACUAAAAACUCUCCUUUUUUUCUUAGCCAAAACUGGCUUUUAACAUCUUAUUACAACCCAAAUUUUGUGCUCAAAGCCCCUUAGCGUUUAUUUUUUAUUGGUGUUGAAGUUGGACAAGGACUACCAUUGCAGUCAAUUUUUGUCUCGUCUCGUUAUUGGUAUCGUGAUACCUUCACCAGUCUUGAAAUGGGGGGUCUUUCGAUGUUUGGGUAUCUCGACACCACUGUAGAUGGUGUAACAGCCUAGUUUUAGUUAAAUCGGAGCAGUGAUUUCGGAACCACAAAUCUGAGGUAAGAAAAUUAUUUUAAUAUUAUUUUUGGUAUUUACAGCAUGUGAUUAUAUAUGUGUGAAAGUUCCGUAAAGAAAUUUUACUGUUUGAAUGCUUAAUUCGGUAAAAAUGACUAAAUCGCGUAAAGCGUAAAAGUUGUGUUCUAUAAGCUAAAGGUGUCUAAUAGCUAUAGAACAUUAAAGUAAAGGUACUUAAGUGGUAAAUAGGUCAUUUGUGAGUUAAUGGAUGAUAGUGGAGUGGCAUUUGGUGUAAUUACCAAUGUUUUUAAUGAUAAAAUAGUAAUUAAGUAAAUUAAUGAUAAAAUAAAUAAAACCAAAGUUAAAAUUUUGUCCAUCUUUUCUUCCUUGGCCGAAUAUUGAAGAAGAAAGACACCAUUGAUGAACACUUAGGGCUCGACACACACAUAGUUUGGUUAAGGUACAGCUUGAUCACGAUUUUUGAUAAUUUUUACGUUUUUGAGAUCGUUGCUUUGUGUUCUAGCUAGCCCAUGCCCUAAUUUUUUAAUUUGGUUGAUGAAUUUGUGAGUUUCCAUUGAUGAUAGCUUGAUGUUUUUGAAUGUUGAUGAUGGAAAAUGAAUAAUUGUUGAUAGAUUAAUAUGUUUUGUAAAGUGAUUUUUGACAAAAAUGUCAAAUAAGGAUUAAAUUGUGAAAUAUACAAAUUAAGUGGUUGAAAUGUUAAAUAAAUGAAAGUUUUGGGCUUCUAGGGGCGCUAUAGUAAUUCAGCUAAGCUUGGGUUAUAUUGAAUUGUGUAAAUUUUGUAUAUUUGUGAAAUAGGGACUAAAUUGAAUAAAUGUGAAACUUUAGGGGCUCAAGUGAAAAAUGUCCAAAUAGAUAUUUUUGGAUGAAAUUUAAUGAAUAGGUGAUUAAAUUAUUUAAAUUUGAAUUCAUAUAGAUUAGGAAAGAAAGAAAUUAGAUUUAGAUCGGGGGAAAUUGAAAGUUGACUAGUCGUUGAUUUGAUCCGUUCGUUUUCGUACGAGAUAAGUUCAUAAGUAAAUAAAUGUUUUUGAACUCAAAUGUAUAUGUUUUAUAUAUUUUCGAAUUGAUUUGAGCAUUGGAUAACUGGUUUCGUGCAUGAAUUGAUUUAAUUACGAAGUCGAAAGCUCCGAAUGAAUCUUAGGAAAUGUAUAGGAUACUGAUGUCAUGAUAUUAGGACUUUCAAGGUGUGAUUUCGUAUAAGACCAUGUCUAGGACAUUGGCAUCGAAGUGAGAAAACGUGUAAGACCAUGUCUGGAACAUUAACAUCGUAUAUGAUUCGUAUAAGACCCUGUCUGGGACAGUGCCAUCGAUAUGCGUUAACAUGUAAGACCAUAUCCGGGAUAUGGCAUUGUACGAGCUUUAUAUGAUUUCCGUGUGUUCUUAACAAUUCCGAAUGUGAAUUUGAGCUAAAUGGUUCAGGUAUGCGUGAAGUUUAUAUUUUGAUGAAAUAAUAAGGUAAGUUUAGUACUUAAUGUGAUAAUAUGAAUUUAUAUGAGAUAGUUAAAUGUAUAUGUGUUUGAGAUUUAUUUAAAUUCGACCUUGUUGAAUUAAAUUAUAAAUAUCAUUGAGAUGAUUUAUUUUCUUAUGGCUUAGUAAGCUUCCAAAGCUUACUUUGUGCAUCCUUCCAUUGUAUUAUAGAUAUAUAUAAAGCUAGCUCGAGCUCGGGGAUCGUCAAGGAUUAUCGUUACACUAUCAAUAGCCAUUUUGGUAUUUUGAAAGCUUGAUAUUAUGAUAUAUGGCAUGUAUAGACUAUGGAAAAUUUUGAAUUGUAUAUAAGUUGUCAUGCGAAAUGGCUUGUUAGAGAUACUAGUUUUUAUGUAUAUUCGGUCAUGUUGUAAGCUCUUUUGGGAAGUAUGUUUCGAGGUAUAUAUGUAUGAUAAUGUUUGGUUAUAAGAUUUGACUUGAGUAAUGAUUUAGUUGGUGGAAGUGUUUUGUUAUAAUGUAAUAUGAUUCGAUGUAUGUUAGUUGGUUCGAAAUUUGAAUAGUAAAUGGUUAUGCUUGGGUUAAAUUUCAGUGUAUGAAUUGUAUUGUGAAAUUGGUUUGUACGGAAAAGAAGUAUGGUUUGUAUAUGAGAUAUGAUUAGUAGACAUGAAUUGUGAUAAAUGACUGUGUUAGACUGUGUUGUGUUAGGUAAUGCCUCGUAACCCUAAUUCGCUGACGGAUACUGGUUAGGGGUGUUAUAGAUGGCCUCAAUCCUCUUCAUUUUAGCUUUGUCCAAGCUACAAUGACUUUUAAGCCUUGAUAUCGCGAUACCCCAUUCUAUGUGAUGUUUUCGUUCAAGUCCGAGCCACCAUUGACUCCCUACAAUACUCAAUCAAUUGUUAGGGGCCUUGUGGCACAUUUGGCCAAUUCAGAUCUCAAAAGUAGCAUAAAAUAUAUUAAUUCACUUAUUAAUACGAAGAACUAAAACUAUGUAAAAAUACGGAAAAUACAUUAAAAUUGCUUGAGAAUAAGCUCGUUAAGUCUAAUGGGGAGCCUAAUUUGAUAUAUCAAAUUACGACAUAUCAUUCAACUUGUCUAAUUUGGGAAAUUAAGACGGAAAUCACUUCAUUUUCACAUUUAGGAACAAAAUUUGCAUAUUUUGAAUUUAUUUCAAAUUAGUCAUUAUUGUAACAACUCAAUAAACAGAACUACCAACUUUCAUUGACACUUGAAACAUAAUUCAUUAUCUUAUAAAAAUUUCAUAUUCACUAAUAAAAUUUACCAUAGCUUCCCACAUGCCACUUGUUCAUAUUUGUCAAUUUAGUCAUUUUUCUUUUUCAUAAUUCUUUCAUUUCACCAAAUAAUUCACAUAAUAAAUAUAAUUUAAUAAUUAUUUCUAUCAUUUACUAUUAUUUGUAAUUCAAUCUCAGUUUCACUUCUCAUACAUAUACCAUUUCAUCGCACUUUCUUACACAUUCUAUUUAUCCAUAUAAUAUUUCACAAUUUAGCUACAAUUUUACACUUUUUCAAUUUAAUUAUUAUAUUUCCACAACUUAAAAAAAACAAUUAUAAUUUUAAUUACAAUAAUCACGUAUUUUUGUAUUAUUAACUACAUUAUUCACUUAUCAAAUAUUUCUUGUAAAAUUUCAUAACCUUUCAAUUUAGUCCAUUUUUAUCAUAAAAGUUCAAUAUUCACUAAUUAAUCAUAUUAAAUCAAAUGUCUUUCUUGCUACACUUUAAUCACAUAAUUUAUCUCAAUAUCUUGUUUCACAUAUCAAUUUUUUUAGGUAUUUUACUUUUAUUAUUUCAUCCACAUAUUUUCUCAAGUUUGACAAUUUAGUCAUUGCCAUCAUAAAAAUUCCAUAAUUUUCCACAACUUCACUUUUACAAUACUUUAUGCAUAUUCCAUCAUCUCAUAACACAUUUAUUAAACUUUUAUCACAAUUUUCUUAUUCACGUAUUAAACUGUUUUAUAAUUUAUUUUACUAAUUUACCAUAAAACUUCGCCAAGUUUACAUUUUUAAUCCUUAAAUAACAAAAGAAUUCAUGGGUAAUUACAUUUUUCAAACUCAAAUCACUUGUUCUUCCUUUUUCCUCAUCACUUGAUUCACUUUCUCAAUCUCCUUCUUCAAUAUCAUAUAAAAACAAACUUUCCAUGAGUAAUCUUCACAUUGACAUAUUUUCUAUACUUUUCUAACAAUAUUAAACUUGAAAACAAUAUGAAACCUUAACAUACAGUGUAAAGCAAUUCACAUUUAAUUCAUAACAAAAAUUUAUUCAUUCAAUGAAUUCUAUUGUAAAUGCAAACACAUAGUAAUGCAUAAUAAAAAAUCUGUAACAUCCCGAUUUAGGGCCUAGUCAGAACAGUAGUUUCGGGACCACAAAUUCGAUGAGGAAAAUUUUAUUUUUACUAUAUUUUUAUGGCCUACAAUUUCACGGAAAGAUUCCGUGAAAAUUUCGUUCAAAAAUUUUGACGUUUGGGCACUCAAUUUAGUAAAAAAAAAACUAAAUUGUAAAAAGUGCAAAAGUUGAUUUUUAUAUGUUAAAGGUAUUUAAUUGUUAUGGAACUAUAAAUUAGGGGUCCUCAUAUGGUAAUUAGACCAUUAGUUAGUGAUGGACAAAAAUGGACAUGAGAUAAGUGAAAUAGGAUUUUUUUAAGUAAUGGCGUUUUAGUCAUGUAAGUAAAUAAAUAGAAUUAAAAGGGAAAAAGAUGUAAAAAUUGUGUUCAUCAUCCUUGCUUGCUGCCAAAACCUGAAGGAAGCCAUAGUUAGGGUUUCUUCACUUUCUCAAGCUCAUAGUAAGUGAUUCCAAGCCUCGUUUUUAAUGUUCUUUACGUUUUUGGAAUCCCGGUAGCUUAAUUUAGCUUAUUUUAGAAAUAAUUUAACCUAGGGUUCAUAUUUGGAAAAAUAUCCAUAGGUGAAAUAUAUUUAUUUUGAUGUUUUAUGGUAGAAUAUGAAUCUAGGAAUUAUGUUAAACAACUUUUGCUAGUCGAUUUUAAGUGAAAACGAGUAUAUUGGCAUAAUCGACAAAAAUACCUAAUGUUCAUAAGUAAGUGUUAGAGUAAGAAUUUGAUAUUGUCAUAGAAGGGAAAAAUGUUCAGAAUGUUAUAAAACAUAAGAAUAAGAGAUGAAGUUUAAUUUUCGAGCUUUAGGGCAAAAGUGUAAAUAUGCAAUAGUUUAGGGGCAAAACUGUAAUUUUGCCAAAUUUGAGUCAAGCACUGUUUUGAUGAAUGUGAGUAUUAAAUAAGCUAAAUUUUCUAUUAUAGAUCAAGAAGAACGAAAUCUGGAGCUAGACCGGGGAAAGAAAAAGAUUGAGGACUAAAGUGUUAGAUUUGAUCACAUUUUUGUACCAAGGUAAGUUUACGGUAAAUAAAUGCAAUAUUUCAAUAAUUAUUAUUAAUGCUGCUAUUUUCCAGCAAUUAUGUAUUUAUUUCAUGAAAUUAUUUAAUGUUGACUUAAGUAUGAGAUGACAGAGAAUCAGUGAUAAAAGCCCCGUUGAAACAUUAGGAGUGUAUUGGAUACAAAUGUCAUGACAUUUGGGUAAAAAGAUCUCAUGUAAGACCAUGUCUGGGACAUGGAAUUGGCAUCAUUGAGGUUAUGAGAGGUCUCAUGUAAGACCAUGUCUGGGAUAUGGCGUUGGCACCGAGAUGAGAGGUCCCCCGUAAGACCAUGUCUGGGACAUGGCAUGGGCACCGAUAUGAGAACUCCCAUGUAAGACCAUAUCUGGGAUAUGGCAUUGGCAGUACAAGAAACAUCCCAUGUAAGACCAUGUCUGGGACGUGGCUUUGGCAUGUUAUCAUCAGAAAAAGAGACCCAAGUAUCCUUAUUAUUCCAAUGUGGCUCAACGGGCUAGAAAACAAAUUAUGUUCUAUGGAAGUUCAAGUAAAUGUAUAAUUAGCAACUUCGGGUGAGUUAUAAGAGUUAAGAAUAUGUUAUGAUAUCAGUGAGAACCAAUAUUUCAGCAAGAAAAGAGUAAGUUGUAAUCUUAAGCUAUUUAAAUAGGUAAGUAAAUAAACAAGCAAAUGAGAGUAAGUAAAGAGGAAACUUAAGAACAUGAUACUUGCAUAUCAUUAUUCGUGUUAAAUGUUGUUAUUUAUUUAUUUGUAAACUUACUAAGAUUUAUGUUUACUUCUUUUAUUUCUUUUUCUUUCAUAUAAUAUUAUCAAGCAUAGUCGGGAUCUUGAAGACGUCGGAGAGCGUUCACACUAUUAACCACCACAACUUGGUAUUUUAAGACGAUAAAUGUUUCAAGCUAUGGCAUGUAUAGGGACUUAGUCAUUUCGAUUGUAUAUUCUUAAAUUAUGACCAAAAGAUGAUAUGUAAAUAUUUGAUGAUGAAUAGUUAUUAAAAUGGCCAAGUAUGAAGGUGUUUGUUGUUAUAAAUGUCUAGGUGAUAAAUUAUGCAUAAGAAUCAUGAAACGGUAAAAAUUGGUAGUGAAUCAGUUUUGAGAUAGUAGUAGUGACGUGAUUUUGAAAAAUCACCAAGGAUAGUAUAAAAUGAAUUAGAGAGUGAAUAAUAUAUAGAAUUAAAUCUUAUUGAGUCUAUUUUAAUAGAAAAAUAACAGUGUAGACAAAGGAAUCAUGUAUUCUGAGAUAUUUGCAUUUUAGUUAGACAACGUCAAAGUGGUUUUCAGAAUCCUCUGUUCUGACUUUAGAAAAUCAUUAAAAAUUUUACAAAAAUAGUUAUGAGUUGUAAUUUAUAUGUAUAGAUUUCUUAUUUAGUCUAUUUUCUGUAGAAAUAAGUGAGAACACCAUAUGAAGUCUGUACAAUAAGAUAAUUAAAUUUUAGUGACGAGAGGUCAGGACAGUCGAUCAGUGAAACAGGGGAGACUUUAACUAAUAAACUGUAUUAAUUGGCUAAACCAAAAAUUCUUAGAUAUGAUAUAUUCAAUCUUAGAUAUGAUAUGUAAUCUUAGAAGAUAUGAUUUUGUAAUCUUAGAUAUGAUAUGUAAUCUUAAAAGAUAUGAUUUUGUAAUAUUAGAGAUUUAAUUUGUAGAUACCCUUUAAUCUUCGUCGUUGAUGUAAUUGAUCUGUAUCGUUGGAUUUGGGGAGGCUCAGCUAUAAAUAGAGGCCUCUCCCUUCAUUGUAAAAGGAGAAAAGAAUCAAUAAAAAAGGGAGAACGAUUGGCAGUUUUUUAAAGGUGGCUUACUAUUUUCUUUUUUUCUUUUUCGAUUAUUUUUUACUUAUUUACGAUUUUAAAAAAGGGAGAAUGUGAUACCACUGCGAAUUUUAUUUAUUUAUUUUAUUUAGCCCUAAUAAAGUGACGCGUUUCAAAGGAUGAAGAUAUUUUCCCAUUCGAGCCCUAUGAGUUAUUCGCGCCUUUUAAUUGGGCCCUUCAUUUUUUUUAAUUCUGCUGAUUUUCAAUCUAAUCCUUAAUAUUUCAUUUUAGGUUUUUAGUCUAUUUUAUUAAUUUUGUUAUUAUUAUUAUUAUUAUUAUUAUAUAUUAUUAUACCUACAUAUAUGUGCGCAUAUGCAUCUUAAUAUAUAUGCAUAUAUAUUUUAAAUGUUUUAAUAUAUAUACAUAUUAUAUACAUACUUUAUUAUUAUUUUAUUUUCAUAGUUUUUUAUACAUAUAUAUAUACACAUUUAUAUUUUAUAAUAUUUAUAUGUUUGCCCGUAUUCUAUGAUUUUUAUAUGUUUAUACAUUCUUGUAAUAGAUACACAUAUAUUUAUACUCCAUUCAAAGCUUAUUAUAAAUAUUUUCCACGUUUUUAUAUUAUACUUAUAUAUUUCAUUUUUUUGUAAAUGCAUGAAUAUAUUUUAUAUGUAUAUAUUUAUAUUUUCCUUGUUUUCAUAAAUGCAUUAUGUAUUAUAUAUAUAAGUUUUAUAACUCAUAAUUUUAUGAGUAAAUUAUCUUUAUGUUUUUUAUUCUUCAUAGUUUCAAAUGUAUAUAUAUUUUGUACCUUUUUCUCUUUAUAUUUUUUUGUUUAUUUCCUUCAUUUGCUUAUUGAUUUAUGUUUUCAUUUAUAUUCAUUUGAUAUUUUACAUGUCGUUCUUUAUGUACAUUAAUUUCGUUUAUUUCUAUGCCAUUGUUGUAUUUAUUAUUACAUUUUAUAUUUAAUGUAGCAUCACAUCAUUUUUUUUCGAUUUUAAAAUUUUCAAAAUUGAGACAACACUCGUAUUUAGGAUUUUCAAGGAAAUUGGGCCCUAACAUAUUGGGUUCUGAUUUUCUUCGUUAAAUCCAACAAUCGAGGGUUGCUAUUAAUAAAAAAUAUAUAAAAUAAAAAGCUUGUUGUUGGGGAGUUAAAUAUGUUGUAUCCUAACGUAUUGGAUGUGACGUAUUGAUUUCUCGAGACAAAGAUUUUUUGAAAAAAAUAAUAAUAAAGGAAAUACUUCAAGUUUGGGAUUUUGAGGAAUUGUGCCCUAACGUAUUGGGCCGCGAUUUCUUAAAUCUUAAACAAAUGAAUAUUUUUUUAAAUUUUUAUUACACGAGUUUUAGACUAAUUCAUUUUUGAGGAAAUUAGAAUGCUGUGCCCUAACGCAUUGGGUUUGACAUUUUCUUUCUCCGAAAUGAUAAGGGUCUUAAUAAGUAACAUUUUUAAGUUUUUGCUAAGGAUUAUAUUUUCAAAUUUUCGACAUUAAGACACUAAUUAAUUAACUAGGUACCAAUUUUGGGCGUUACGAGGGUGCUAAUCCUUCAUCGUACGCAACCGACUCCCGGAUCCGUUUUUCUAAAACUCGUAGACCAAAGCCGUUUUUUUAGGUGAUCCAAUCACACCUCAAUAAAAGAUUGGUGGCGACUCCCAAUUUUCAUUUUUUAAAGUCGACAACCUAAAAUUUUUGUUUUUCAAAAAAAUUGUUUCGACACCAUUCAUCUUCAUAAUCUAAUUCAACCAUUCCAUUUCAACAUUGUUUUUCAUAUGUUUCAACUAUAGUUUAGUACGUUGCCAACAAUACACAUUCAUGUACACAAUAUGUACCAUCUAAGCUCCAAAAUCACCAACAUUCAAAGUACACAUAAACAUAAUAUUGCCUAUCUAUAUGCCACAUAACCAAAUCGAGAACGAUUAAAAUACUACCGAGUUAGAAGCUAGAUAAUGAUCUCCGAGGUGAUCCGAUCGACGUGUUCCUCAAAAUGACCACUACAGAAAAUAAAAAAUGAGCAAAGUAAGCAUUUCAAAUGCUUAGUAAUUUUAUAGGUUUUAAAACCGUAAACUCACCUUAAUUUACAAUUAACAUAACAAAUUAGAUAACUACAAACUUUCUUAUUUUCACAUAUCACAACAAUAAGGUGAGAUUAUCAAUUAUGAAUCUUGUAACAUUUCAAUCUAUACGAUACAAUUCAAUUCAGUGUCAUUCUAUCAGAAUCAUCAAACAUAUACAUCAUUACAUCAUUCUAAUUAUAUAUAUUCAUUUCCAAUCAUUACACAUUCUUCCAUUUUGUUAUUCUUUUUGUUUUAUUAAUUGUAAUCCCGAUGAACCAUAAUGAACAAAUACAGAUACUGGGUAACUACACCACACCAAAUUACUCAUCUGAGUUGUAACUACACCACACUAGUUCACAAGAGUGCAAGACCCAUAGGAAAAUAUAUCACAUAUCAUAUCAUCCCUCCACCACACCAGGGUCUCCAUAGAUAUAUAUAUAUCGCAACAAAUGCAAGAUUCCAACAUAAUCAGUGAAUUCUCUGUACAUUAGUAAACUCUAUAACAAAUGCAAAAAUAACCCUAUUGGCAUGCCAAUUGUAUCCUAUCCUUUCUUACGUUCAUCUGAGCACAUUUAACGCAUCAGAUCCAUUCUUUACAAUUCAAUCCAUUUUUCACUUUUUUGUACUAAUUUGCAUACAAUUCAAUGUAUAAUCCCACUAUAUAAAUUCGUACUUCAAACGCAUACAUUUCAUUUACAUAUAUAACUAUACCAUAUGAACUUCCUACAAAAACUACUAACGAUUUGAAUUAUAGGGACUAUUCAACAAUUUUCCUUUUUCCUCGAUUAACUUUCAGUUGAUUCAAAUAUUAAUCUAUACGAUAAUUCAUUCCAAUUUAGUAGUUUCAAUUACCUUAUAACAUCUUAUUCUAUGCAUAUGACAUUUUAAUUUCAUGUUUCAUAAAUUCCAUAAAGUUUCACAUUUUAUUCAAUUUAGUCCAUAAAACCGAAACAAUCAUAACUUUCACAUUUGAGCUUCGUUUUACAAUCUGAUUUCAAUUACAUCCUUCUAUGACUCUCUAAAAUUCAUUAAAAUAGAAAUUUCACACCACUAUUACACUUUUUACACUUUAGUCCUUUUUAAAAAAAAAUAAUUUCACUUUUCAAAUUAGUCAUUUUUCAUCUAUACACUUGAAAUCUAACCAUUUAACAUAAAAAUUCACAAAAACAACAAUGGAAGCUUUUAAAAACUUUAAUAGUUUUUUAAACUAACACAUGAGUUUGCUAAAUCGAGCUUCAACGAUCACAAAAAUAUAAAAUUUAUGAAAAACUAGCUUGAACACACUUACCAUACAAGGGCCAAACUUUGAAAGUUUUUGAAACUUUUAUCCUUCUUCAAUGGAGGAAAAUUCAGUGGAGAAUAUGGGAGUGAAGUUAUUCUCUUUCUUUCCACUUUAGUUUUCUUUUAUUAAUGUUUGAAGUUCAAUAAGUUGACUUUAAUUUUUAACAAACAAUGCUAAAAAUUAUGUUCUAACCGUCCAUGCUAUUACAUUAUGGCCUAAUUUCCAUUUUAAACCUUGAAAAAUUUCUAUUUAAGCCUUUUAACUAGUAAAAAUCAACAACGAUUAACUUUUACAUUUUUUAUGAUUUAAUCCUUGUAUCUUAAUUACUAACCGGUUAAUAAAAUUACUGAAUCAAAAUUCAAUAUAACAUUAUAAUAUACUUGUAAAUAUUAAAUAAUAAUAUUUAUGGACUCGAUCAUUAACGGGGUUCCCAAAACCACCAUUUUCGAUACCACUAACAAACAGGUUGUUACAUAUUCUAUUGGAAUCAAGCUUUAGCUUGAUUUUAUCUCUCUUCCAACUUUUAUUUUCUUAAAUCUAAAUUGAUAGUCUUACUCUUUAUAGUCUUCUUAUUAUUUUUCUCUCUUGGUGGUAAAUUAAUAUUCUUACUCUUUAUAGUUUUCUUAUUAUUUUUCUCUCUUGGUGGUUAUGAAAACUCCUUUGCUUUCUAGGUGAAAAUGAUUAAUUUUGAUAGAAAAUACCAAAUUGCAAAUAAAGCAAAACUUUCUUUUCUUAAAGAAUGGUGGACAUAAGCUUGAAAAAAGAUGAGAAAUUUCCAUCAGCUUUUCUUUUUAUUUUCUUAACUAUUAAUUAAAUAAUAAAAUAUCUUAUAUUAAAAUAAUAAUAAAAUAAUCUUAACCAAUAAAAAUCUAACACCAAUUUCAUGAGAAUUAUCUUAUUUGAGAAAUGACUACUUUACCCUUCAACAUUCACUACAAUUCAUUCAUUGAAUUGUUACUUAAUUUGAUAAAAUUAUGAUUUAGUCCUUCAUAUUUCUCCACUAUUCAAAUUGGUACAUGCACACCAGUUUCAUCUAAUAAGAAAUUGGGUUAUUUUCACUUUUGGUCCUCAAAUUUCUCCUAUUUAUACUUCAACCCUCAAAUUUUGAAUAAAUGUACUUGAACCUUGAAACUUUUUAUAUUUUUACGAUUUAGUCCUUACUUUAAUUUAGUGUACCACAACAUACUUCUCGAUUCAACUUUUUUUUUAUACUCUUCAACCUUCUCAUUUAUCACUUUCAUUUCCUUAUUUUAUUUUAUCGAAACAUCAAUUAUACACAAUCUUGAUUUAUUACUGUUUUUAAAGUCUAAAAAUUUUAAAGGUGUUACAAAGUGUCUUUCAAGCAUGUCCACCGAGAGAUGAAAUGGCAAAGUUGCUGCAUGGAGAUGAUUUUGAACUGCAUCGGUUUAACUCUCUUGUUCCUCAACUGAUCAACGUUUUUGAAAAACCAAUAUAUAUUUCAAUUAUUUAAUUUUUUAAAAUAAAUUCAUUAGAAUGAAAUGUUGUUGUUUAAGCGUGAGUAAUUUCUAAAAAUGUUUAGGAUCACUCAUAGUAAUUCUAUUAUUUAUACUUUUUUCUACUCAUAAUUUACUUUAAAAAUAUUGCUAAAAUAAUAAAAUCGAUUUUGUAGGACACAAUUUUAAGAUUAUAUUCUAAAUCCUUGCGACCUCUCCACUGCGAUUAUCAUCCUCUUCGAUUCCGAGUUUAGCAUUAUUUUUGAGAAGUGUUGUAGAAAAAUAUUUUUAAGAAGUAAUUUUGAAAAGUUUAGUUUAAGAUUUAUGUGUUCAAUAUUGCUGUCAAAAAAUAUAUUUAAAAAAUAAAAUAUCUAUUUUAGACAUGGUGUUAUAAAAUAACAAAUAUGUAUUUAAAUAAUGUUCAAAUUAGUUUUUUUUUUGAAAAAUCGACUGGAUUAACACCUUAAAAUUAAAACAAAAACGUCUCUUGGGUCGAACCCAAUAAACAAAACCUAAGAAACAAAACCAGCAAAAGCAGGCUUACAUCAAUUUAGCCCACCUUAAGUAAAAUAAUAAAAUAAACAAAUUCAAAAUUCCAGUUGAUCGGUCAGUUGUCUUCAUAAAUCCAUCUGCCUUUUCCUCUGCCCAUGACAACUGAAAAGUAAAAGCAAAUCCUUUCAAAUCUUUUACUUAUCAGAUUACUUUUACAAACAGCAUCCUCCCUUUCAUUUCAAUCGUUCAUUUCUUGAUGCCAAAAGCCAAAAUCUUAUCCCCUUUCCUUUCUACUCUGGAUUACCCAAACAGCUUGGCUCCGAGUCUUCACCAAUCGAUCUUAAGGUCUCUCCCUCUAGGUACUGUUCCACUCCCGUUUGAAGUGUUCUUUUUGCUAGUCUGUGUGCUUCAAUAUUUUCAGACCUUGAGUUGAAGUAAAAUCUGAUUUUGUGGAAUAAAUCUUUGAAGCUUUGAAUAUCGCUGAUAAUUGCUCCUAUUUCUGAUCUGUCCCGGUUUCCACUUUGACAUUUUGUUAUCACUGUUUUUGAAUCUCCUAUUAUAUCCAAAGUAUAAUAUUCCAACUGGAUCCCUAACCUUGUUGCUUGAAAUCCUGCAUAUGCUUCCGCCGCAAACGGAGAUGCAACAUUGUCAUGAAGGAUCGAUUUUGCUCCAACGAUUCUGCCCGCCUCAUUUUUAACAACAAGACCUGACGCAGGUCUGUGGUUUUGUGAAUCAAACGCUGCAUCGAAAAAGAUGGCCUUAUUCGCCCUUUGUAUCCACUGUCUAGGCCUUGUACUGGUUGCCAAAGUGAGUACCCUUUCUUUAACACCUUCUAGUUCUGAAAUAUAACUUUGAAUUUGCUUCGAUAUAUCCCAACUGGUACUAUAUUUUCCUUCAUAUAUAAACUUAUUUCUGCUUAUCCAGAUUCCCCAUAGCCCGCAGCAAAAUCCCAUGCACUGUUCAUUUGUCCCUUUUCUGAAUACCCAGAUAAGCCAACUCCAUAUAUCACCAUGAUUGUCAUUAAGUACCCAAGAAAAGUUCAAAUGACUCCAUAUUUCUUUUGCUAUAGGACACAUUUGGAAGACGUGGAUGCUAUCUUCUUCGCCCUGGCUACAUCUCAAACAACGGACCUCAGUCAUUACUCUUCUCGAUUUUAGAUUAGAGAAAGUGGAUAUGUAAUUCCACGUUAUUCUCCAUACUGUAAUUUUAAUUUUUGAGGGCAACUGUAGAUUCCAUAAUUUCUUGUAGAAAUUUUUUGUAUCAGUCUGUAAAUAAGCAUUAGUUCUUGGGCAGUCUUUGAAAAGACUCCAGUAGCCUCCCCUCUCCAUACUUGGAUGUCUUCUUGGGCAGUCUUUGAAAGUGGAAUCCGCAGAAUCUUCUUUGCGAUAUCUGUAUUAAAGGUAUUGACAAUCAAGUCUCUUUUCCAUGUUCUACUCUCUGCAUUGAUUAAGUCGGCCACUACUCUGAUACUUUCACUUCUGCUGUUAUUCUGUAAUCUAUCUUCUGCUGUUAUGCUGUUUUUUUUUUUUUUCAAAUUAGUUAAUGUUACGAUAUUUUAGAAAGAAUGUAAAAAAAUAUUUUAUUAUAAAUUGUUGUUAAUAUUUUAAUAUAUAAAAUAUAAAAUUUAAAUAUUUUAAAGUAA
This 22069-nucleotide long non-coding RNA is filed under the name Gossypium barbadense (sea-island cotton). RNAcentral describes it as "long non-coding RNA (GBAR_LNC022709)". The record is from RNAcentral. Lineage: Eukaryota; Viridiplantae; Streptophyta; Magnoliopsida; Malvales; Malvaceae.